Non-coding RNA from Camellia sinensis, 507 nucleotides. NCBI's taxonomy places the organism in Eukaryota, Viridiplantae, Streptophyta, Magnoliopsida, Ericales, Theaceae. The record is from RefSeq and is a predicted model, not a curated record.
CAUGCUUUGUAUCAUUUGAGUGUUGUUGUCAUUGAUUAUUACAUCCCUUCUUAUUUCAAAAUACGAAGGACCACGCAUAUAUGACAACUUUUCAGUCUUGCAUAUAUGGUAUAACAACGGUUGCUGCUGCAGGUUUCAGAUGGUGACCACAUUGAUAGAUUAAUAUCUUGCCUGCAUAUGGCUCUUCCAUUUUUUACGAGGGGUGCAUCAAGUAAUAGGUUUCUCAACUAUUUGAACAAGAAUAUUGUACCUGUUUUUGAUAAGGUUGAGAACCAUAGAUGAUUUAACUAAAGCUAUGGUGAAGAAAUUAAAUCAAGGAAUGACAGAGCACAACAAAGCGAUGGCAGCUGCUAAAACUGCAGGAUAGAACCGAGGAUUUUGAUGUCGAGCAAGGCACUAAUUCAAAUGAAUCCAAUGGGGAAAAGCACUUGGAAUCUAAGCUAAUUUGGCAUGGUAGAAAUUAGCAUAUAUGCUAAUUUUGGUUGUGGUACAUAUGUCCUUUUUGUU